UUUUCUUUAUAGCUCUAUAUUUGCCUAAGAAUAUUUCCCAUUCAAAAACUACUAAAAUCUAUCAUAUUGUCUUCUGUUAUAUUUAUAAUUUUUUUAUUGUUUUGGGUCUAUAUAUCAUCCGACAUUUGUUUUUGUUUUUGUGGUGCUAGGAAUCCAACCCAGGGCCUCAUGCACAAGUGCUUUACCACUGAGCUAUACCCUGAGUCCUAUUUUGGGGUUAUUAUUUUGAGUUAAGUAUAAGAUUCUUUCCCAAAACAAUAGGUAAUUAUUCCAACAGUGUUUAUCAAAUACUCCACUACUUCCUUUUUAAUUUGAAAUGCCAUACUUAAACUAGAUUUUAAUUAAGGGUUGUUUCUAGAAUUUUUGUUCUAUUCCACUGAUCUCUCAUAGCAUUGUGUCAAUACUAUGUUGUUUGACUGCUGAUGUCUUAAACUACAUUUUGGUAUCUUCAGGCAAAGUACUCCCAAUAGCUCUUUAUACAAAUUUUUUAUUCUUG
RNAcentral lists this long non-coding RNA (496 nucleotides) under Marmota monax (woodchuck). Lineage: Eukaryota; Metazoa; Chordata; Mammalia; Rodentia; Sciuridae. The record is from RNAcentral.